GCAACACCCACCCGCGAGUCUAUAAAUAAUAUAAACACGCCGUCGACUCACAUAACCUUCAGACGGAGAACCUGAAAGGAUCGCAGCCUCACUUUCUAAACAAAGCAAUGGCGCCAGGCGAUGUUAUGAACCCCCACUACGGGUGGGGGUUGAAGAAAAAUCCCCACCUGCUGAAAGAAUACACUGAGAAAUAUGUAGGAAAGUCACUGCACCACCCCUCUGCAUUGCUGUCCACUGCCAAGCAUGGCUCAGCUGAGCAGGUGGUGAGGAAGGUGCUCCUAACCAAGGCAAUGUGUGAAAUCUUCGUUAUCUUGGCUAAUGGUCAAAGGUGUCAGAUGCUCCUAAGCGCCAUGCAGCUGCAAGUAAUGAUUGUGAGCAUUUUCAAAGAGGAAGUGCUGAAAAUGCUCAUCAAAAAAGGAUACAAUAAGGAUAAUAUCAGGCUGGUGGCUGAUGACAAGCCACUGGAUGAUGACUCUGCACCAGUGAAAAAAUACGGGAUCAAAGCCGGCUCAACUGUACAGAUGACAGACAACCUGGAAAGAUCACAUGUUCCCCGCCUAAACAAGGAAAAUUGUAAACUCGGCAUUAUCUUGCCUGAUGGUCGGAGGCACGUGAUGCCUCUGAGCGCUAAACAGCUGCAAGAAAUGACUGUGAGCCUUCUCGAAGAGGAAGUGCUAAAAAUGCUCAUGAUGAAAACUGUUGUAGGAUACACUAAGGAUGUUUUGAAGCUGCACAUUGAUGGCAUGCCACUGGACAACGGCUUUGUACUAAAAAUCAAAGCCGGCAAAAAAGUGCAGGCGGUGAUUAUGGUUCACGGAGGAUGAAGGAGUCCAUCAUGAAUUCAUGUGACUACAUCAAAUUUACAGGAUAUACCGAACCAUAAAUACAUGUAAAGAACAAAACAAAAAAUUCUGAUUGAAGUAUUGCAUCUAUGGCUUUCCUUCUCCUUUGUACUUUCUUCACAUUUUACGCCUCCUAUCAUACCUAUAGUCAGCACUAAUUCAGUAUUACAUAUUAAUAAUGAUUAAUUGAGGUGCAAAAGUUUUGUUUUAUUUUAUUACCAAGUUUCUGGGGCUUCUGUUUUCGCAGUCAGAGGUGUGUGCCUGAGAUGACAAUAUUAGCUCAUAUUAUUAUUGUUACAGGAAGAAAUUAGAAUAAAUGUAACGAUACACAGACGAACCUCCACAAAGUAAAUACUGAAACAAACGAACACAUUGAUUGUCAAUUUCCUAUGUGAUACAUUAUCUUUUUACAAUGUACAUGAAUAAAUGCACAUCACCAAAUGUUAUUGGUUGGCUCACUGAUGUCUGUAUGUAAACAUUGUGAUUCACAAAUGAUCCUAGAUUAUAUUUUAAAACGUAAUUGUUCAUUUUCUGUGACAUGUUUUGUUCAGUUAACAAUCACAACAAUUAAGUAAAUCUUUUUCAGAAUAUGUUUAAUGACUCAAAGCUAAAUGUGGAAGAAAUAAAUAGGAAUCUGGCUUCCUCGUGGUUUGCAUCAUUUAACUUUGAUAAAAUAGAAGACUGUCUCGGAGAAAUCAGACUGUCAAUGAAAAAAUUAAAUGCAAAACGUUCCAUUAUGUAACCUCAAAGAAACGUUCUCUGAGGAAAUUUCCACCUUAUCCUGAUUAUUAUAUUAGUUUAGCUGUUUCUGUAAAUACUUUAAAAUCAACAUUGGGACAACUAAACCACAUUUUCCAAUAACAAAUUUAAAGAAGAGAUCAUAUUUUACAUGAUGAUUUUUACUUAUCUGCAUGGGCUCUAAGUAACGUCAUGGCAGGAAGAAAGAAAAAUCUACAAGCUUAUAUCAAAUGAGGUGUUGCUAACUUGUUCAAAUCCUGGCGUUGGAGCUUGGACAAUUCAGGCCAAUAUUUUACUCAAAUACAUCAGGCCACAUUUAAGUAUUUUGUUAUGAUCUUUAAUUUGAGUUUCUAGUUAUAAUCUUAAUUAUUUUUACCCUUUGCUCUUUUCACCACACCAAACCAAUAAAGGACCAAACUGCCUGUCCA
This is a long non-coding RNA of Astatotilapia calliptera (eastern happy), 2008 nucleotides long. NCBI's taxonomy places the organism in Eukaryota, Metazoa, Chordata, Actinopteri, Cichliformes, Cichlidae. The record is from Ensembl.